ACCUACGGAUUUCUUAGACCUAAUAAUUCGAUGUAGAGUGGCUUAGCCUAAAUAUAAAUUAGGUUUGUUCUCAUUUCCUUCAACUAGCCAGAUAAGAGGUGGGGUCGUGGGGUCCUCCCAUUGCUUGCCUUAGACACCAAUUGGAUUGGCCAGGUAAACUAACGAAACUAAUUAAAUAACCAUGAGUCCACUUACGCUG
This 199-nucleotide long non-coding RNA is filed under the name Elaeis guineensis (African oil palm). RNAcentral describes it as "long non-coding RNA (EGUI_LNC036242)". Lineage: Eukaryota; Viridiplantae; Streptophyta; Magnoliopsida; Arecales; Arecaceae. The record is from RNAcentral.